GUAUUGUUUGCCCAAUAUUUGUGCAAGUUUUACCACCAAACAAACUGUAGUGAUUAAAAACACAACAUCAUGUUCAAAUUUUCGUUUGAUGUUGAUGGUGCCGGCGGAACUCCCUCCGCAGCAGAACCACAACAACAAGAACCAGAGCAGGAACAAAUGUCUCAAAACAGCCAGCAGGGAUAUGAGUGUGAGAAACUGGAGUUACCUGAAAACCUACGUCAGGGUGUUGUUAUUGAGCGGGACAAUUUACAUGUGUUCGUCGCGAGCGUGGAUACUUUAGUGGAGUAUAUCAACUGUUUGUCAUUGCCGGUGGACUACUUUUCCGACGACAUCCAACUGGCUGAGCUCGAUCACUCGGACUUAGUCCCAGGCAUGUACGAAGGAGGCCUCAAGGUAUGGGAAUGCACGUUUGAUCUGGGAGAACGAAUGGCUGAAAAAGCCGAAUACAAGAAGCUAUUUGAUAAAUCCACGGUACUGGAUUUGGGCUGCGGUUCCGGUAUCCUCGGGAUAGUUGCAAUAAAGCUAGGAGCCAGCAAGGUGGCUUUUCAGGACUAUAACAAAGAUGUGCUCGAGCGAGUGACAAUGAAAAAUUAUUCGCUGAACUGCUGUGCUGCCGAUGAUCUUCAAAGUUCCGACCAGUCGGACUCUGCUGCGGUAGAAUUUUAUUCUGGCGAUUGGGGCAGCUUUGUGGACAAAGUCGAAAGGCAGUUUGACGUUAUCUUGACGUCUGAAACCAUAUACAAUACCAAAAAUUAUCCAAAACUACUUAAGUUAUUCCGAGAAAAACUGCGACCGGACGGAGUGGUACUUCUCACAUCCAAAACGUGUUACUUUGGCGUGGGUGGCGGCAUACGUCUCUUCGAGAAGGCGAUGGACGAGGAUGGCUAUUUCAGGUAUCGCACAGCAUGGGAAUGCGACAGCGGCGUGUUGAGGGAGAUUCUUGAAAUUCGUGUCAAAUCUUCAUCCGGAGGGCAACAACAGCAACAGCAACAGCUACCAGGUAACGUUGCAGCGCGACUGCUACAUCGGGUUUGGAUGCUGGUAAAGCACACACGUUAUGCAUAGAAAGUCUGUCUGCCGGUGAUGCUCCGUUUUCCAACACAACAGCCUUUAUUUAGCCCAUCGAUCCAUUAUUGUUUAUUAGAGAUGACGGAGCCGUGCGAGCCAUUUACACUAUCAUCAGUGCAACGUAUUCCCGACCCGUAUGGAUUAUGUAAAAGAUACCGAUCAACAGGUAUGCUCUCGAUGAGGAUGGGAAAACAACGGCAUUCGCGAGGUGCGAUUGUUACGCUAAUGAAAGGAAUUUUCAUAAACCCAUAAUCUCACAGACUGUUUACGACACCUCGCUGGGUACGUGCGUGUGUGUAUGUGUUGGACAGAGCAGAUUUUAUGCCCGAUGCGGACCAAGUCCAUUGACCGGCACACAACAAGGAACCGACAGCGCGCAUUGAAUCCUCUCUUUUUUCCCUUCGAUAUCAAUCAUAACAAUCAGCUGGUCGCCGCCAGCGGGCUUUCGUGUUUUCGCCGCGCGCGCCUUCCUUUCAUAUUGAUUGGGUGGUGGCGGCGAAGUGCAACAUCAUCUGCCUUGUAUUAUGGACACAAGUGAACAGCAUGCAUAACCGUAUCGAUUUCGUUGCGCUUGCUGACGGGAAAAUCGAGAGAGUCUAUGACCGCUGCCGCCCGCAGGCUGGGGGGUGUUCAGAGGAUACGCGCUGUGCUUCAAAAUCCAUUAAUGGGAGGCGGCAGCGUUAGCCGCCAUUUUCCAGCAUUGUUCAACUGUCAGUCAUUAGUCGAUUGAAUUCUAG
This is an RNA transcript of Toxorhynchites rutilus septentrionalis, 1805 nucleotides long. It is a transcript of the gene named histidine protein methyltransferase 1 homolog, with no coding region annotated. NCBI's taxonomy places the organism in Eukaryota, Metazoa, Arthropoda, Insecta, Diptera, Culicidae. The record is from RefSeq and is a predicted model, not a curated record. The transcript has 6 exons.